UGACACGUAGCUUAAUUGGAAAAGCACUCGACUUUUAAUCGAGGUGAUGUGGGUUCAAAUCCCUCUGUGUCAA
RNAcentral lists this transfer RNA (73 nucleotides) under Aquimarina sp. AD1. Its description in RNAcentral is "tRNA-Lys". It matches the Rfam family "tRNA". Rfam says of the family: Transfer RNA (tRNA) molecules are approximately 80 nucleotides in length. Their secondary structure includes four short double-helical elements and three loops (D, anti-codon, and T loops). The record is from RNAcentral. RNAcentral also lists the same sequence under 1 other name. Lineage: Bacteria; Pseudomonadati; Bacteroidota; Flavobacteriia; Flavobacteriales; Flavobacteriaceae.